CAUUUUAAUGGAAAUUGUUUCCAUUCACCUCUCUGUUCCCUUCUUCCUGCUAGUGACACCCGAGCUUUAAUAAUCUCCAAUGCCGAAUUGUUCACUCUGUGACCCUGUCAUUUGGAGAAUACAUUGGACGUUGGCGGAGUCACCAUACAGCACCUCAUUAGUUUUUGAACUCUUCAAAGAGAGCCAAACAGCCAUCAAAUUCAAACCUGUCUGCUCCCACAAGACACUUUCUUCCCUUGGAGCUGACAGAGAGCCCAAAGAGCGGGCGGAUCCCAGGGCGGGAAAAUCGGAAAGUCACUGUGCCUCACAGAGCAGGCAGCUUCUCCAGUCAUGACUGCUACGCUGCUCGGAAGAAGGUUCAGGGAACCUGCCUUUGCGAUUGGUUGACACCUGCACAACGUUCAGUCAAUGCGGCAAUUGUAGCAACCAGCACCAGAAAUGUCAGCUCUCAUUAGCCGGCAUAUAAAUCUGCCUCCCUGAGAAGUGGGAUGAGAGAACCACAGAGAAAAUGCCAGGAAGCAGGAACAUAUGUUGAUCACACAAAGAGAAGCUCCGACAAUGGGUGUCUUCCUCCACAGCCCAGGCACCCGGAACAGGAAGGCUUUGUUUUGCCUCAGCCCUCGGUGCCCCCGUAACAGGAGGCUGGGCAAUGUGUUCCACCACCCGGGGUGGGAGGUUCUGCUAAGUGUUUGCUGACACAGCUGAACAGUCGUAAAAUGUCAUAAAGAGUAAAUGACUUGAUAACGCAAACCAGU
Molecule: long non-coding RNA, 755 nt
Filed under: Mustela putorius furo (domestic ferret)
Lineage: Eukaryota; Metazoa; Chordata; Mammalia; Carnivora; Mustelidae
Description: lncRNA (ENSMPUG00000031878.1)
Source: RNAcentral